UAAAAUUCAAUCUCAUCUUCUUCAAAAUUCUCGAUUUCAAUUCAGUGCAAAAAUCAAAACACACAACCAAAAAAAGACCUUCUUCGCUCCUAUAAUGAGGAAGAGCUCGAGCUUCCCUUGAUAGAUUCAUCACUCUUUCUCUUAUGUCUCACCCCACCUCCUCUACCUCCACCUCCAACCCCAGCAAGCGCUCCUCCUCCCCUUAUUCCUCCGCCGCCGCAGCUCCAAUUCUCUCCGCGAUGAAGAAGGCCAAGUCGCACAAUACUCCCCACGUCCACUUCUCCGACUCCCCCGCCCUCUCCCCGAUGAUCGAGGACGAUCCCGCCGACUCGGCGCUCGAGGCCUCCUCCCCCUCCAGCGCCUUCGGCCGCACUGGCGCCGCUUCCGCCGGCGGCGUCACCUCUAAUUUGUCGCGGAAGAAAGCCACCCUCCCGCAGCCAACGAAGAAGCUCGUAAUUAAGCUCAAUAAAGCCAAACCGAUGCUACCGGCUAAUUUUGAGGAAAAUACAUGGGCAACACUUGAGUCGGCAAUCAGCGCUAUAUUUUUGAAACAGCCCAAUCCAUGUGACCUGGAGAAACUCUAUCAGGCGGUAAAUGACCUUUGCCUUCACAAAAUGGGGGGAAGUCUCUAUCAACGGAUCGAAAAGGCGUGCGAAAGCUACAUAUCCGCUUCCCUUCAAUCUUUGGUUGGCCAAAGUGAAGACCUGGUGGUUUUCUUAUCACUUGUCCAGAAGCGGUGGCAGGAUUUUUGCGACCAGAUGCUGAUGAUCCGGGGUAUAGCUUUAUAUCUCGAUAGAACAUAUGUGAAGCAAACAUCGAAUGUUUGCUCAUUGUGGGACAUGGGCUUGCAGCUUUUUCACAAACAUCUUUCCCUAGCUUCAGAAGUGGAGCGCAAAACUGUAUUUGGUCUUUUAAAAAUGAUUGAGAGUGAAAGAUUAGGCGAAGCAGUUGAUAGAACUCUCCUUAAUCAUCUAUUGAAGAUGUUUACUGCAUUGGGUAUUUAUCCAGAAAGCUUCGAGAAGCCAUUCCUUGAAGGUACAUCUGAGUUUUAUGCAGCCGAAGGUGUCAAAUACAUGCAGCAAGCAGAUGUUCCAGAUUAUUUAAAGCACGUAGAGAUGAGAUUGCAAGAAGAAAAUGAAAGAUGUCUAAUUUACCUGGACUCAAGUACAAGAAAGCCACUCGUAGCAACUGCAGAAAGGCAGCUGCUCGUGCGUCAUGUAACUGCCAUUCUCGACAAGGGUUUCAUGAUACUUAUGGAUGCGAAGCGUAUUGAAGACCUUCAGAGGAUGUAUCUUCUCUUCUCUAGAGUUGACGCCCUCGAAUCAUUAAGGCAAUCCCUGAAUCAAUACAUCCGAAUAACUGGUCAGAGUAUUGUCAUGGAUGAGGAGAAGGACAGAGAUAUGGUAUCGAGCUUAUUGGAAUUUAAAGCUAAUCUUGAUAGAAUAUGGGAAGAAAGCUUUUCCAAAAAUGAAGCAUUUAGCAACACCAUCAAGGAUGCAUUUGAGCAUCUCAUUAAUAUCCGGCAGAAUCGGCCUGCUGAGCUUAUCGCAAAGUUUGUUGACGAAAAGCUUCGUGCUGGAAACAAGGGUACCUCAGAAGAGGAAUUGGAGGGUACACUUGAUAAAGUGUUAGUCUUGUUCAGAUAUAUACAGGGCAAGGAUGUUUUUGAAGCUUUCUACAAGAAAGAUCUUGCUAAAAGGCUCUUGUUGAGUAAAAGUGCUUCUAUUGAUGCAGAGAAGUCUAUGAUUACUAAGUUGAAAACUGAGUGCGGCAGUCAAUUUACUAACAAACUCGAAGGAAUGUUCAAGGACAUCGAAUUGUCUAAAGAGAUUAACGAAUCAUUCAAGCAAUCAUCUCAAGCUCGGACAAAACUCCCGUCCGGGAUCGAGAUGAGUGUUCAUGUCCUAACAACUGGGUACUGGCCGACAUAUCCACCCAUGGAUGUCAGGCUCCCACAUGAGCUCAAUGUUUACCAGGAUAUUUUCAAGGAGUUUUACUUGAGCAAGCAUAGUGGGAGGCGAUUGAUGUGGCAAAACUCGUUAGGUCAUUGUGUUCUUAAAGCAGAUUUCCCGAAGGGUAAAAAGGAACUCGCAGUUUCUCUGUUUCAGACUGUUGUAUUGAUGCUGUUCAAUGAUGCACAAAAUCUUUGCUUUCAAGAUAUAAAAGAAUCUACGGGUAUCGAGGAUAAAGAGCUGAGGAGGACUUUGCAGUCCCUUGCAUGUGGGAAGGUUCGCGUCCUCCAAAAAAUUCCUAAAGGCAAAGAUGUGGAUGAUGACGAUUCCUUUGUCUUCAACGAUCAAUUUACUGCUCCACUGUAUCGUAUAAAGGUAAAUGCAAUCCAGAUGAAGGAAACAGUUGAGGAGAACACUAGCACAACGGAAAGGGUUUUCCAAGAUCGUCAAUAUCAGGUCGAUGCUGCUAUCGUUCGUAUAAUGAAGACGAGAAAAGUGCUGAGCCACACCUUACUGAUCACCGAACUCUUUCAGCAGCUGAAGUUUCCAAUAAAACCGGGUGACCUGAAGAAGAGGAUCGAGAGCCUCAUUGAUCGAGAGUACCUGGAACGUGACAAAAACAACCCACAAAUAUACAACUACCUUGCUUGAAAAAAGUCACCACAAGGUAAAUCAUCAUUUUUCCUUGUAUAAACGACAUGGUCUGAUCAACGUGUUAGAAGCUCAUCUAUCAAAGAAACCUUUGUACAGGAACUCAGCUGUCUUUCUCUCCUCCCUUUUUUUGUUAUGCUCAAUUCUCUUCUAUGUCCAGUUUCAGCAUGCAUUUAUAAAAUUUGUGGCUCUGCGCAGCAACCCACCUCUCGUCGGGGCUGUACUGUAUAAAAACUCCGCUCUUGUACUGUUUACACUCCCCUAAUGCCGUUUCUGUGGGGUACAUUCACAUCAACCCAUUGGGAACCUCUUCCACAAACACGGGCUGAACAGAGCUUGCUCUGAUACCACUUGUUGCCCGACCCCCAUUUCAUGAACGUUGCGUCAGAGAAUUCAGUUCCACUUUAUAAAUUCAUAUGGCAGAAGCUAAGAGGACCAAAGAAAUCAAAAGGUGCAUGCUUUGAGUAUAUGGAUUACAGUACAGUUACUGCAAGAUCUCCUUCAACUAUCGAUCUUUUCAUUUAUUUUUAUCUUAGGAAUAAAGUAUAGUGGGAUUGAAAUUCAUAAUUUCAUGAGAUCAAGUGUGAUAGAAUAGCAAAAUUUGAUAAUAACAACCCUAGUUCAGAUCAAACAUGACAUAUUCCCCAUCACUUUUGAAACGUCUAAACAAUGUGUAUGCUCGAAUUUCUCCA
RNA transcript from Salvia hispanica, 3295 nucleotides. It is a transcript of the gene named cullin-4-like, with no coding region annotated. The record is from RefSeq and is a predicted model, not a curated record. Lineage: Eukaryota; Viridiplantae; Streptophyta; Magnoliopsida; Lamiales; Lamiaceae.